RNAcentral lists this unclassified non-coding RNA (418 nucleotides) under Melitaea cinxia (Glanville fritillary). RNAcentral describes it as "misc RNA ENSMCXG00005007953.1". Lineage: Eukaryota; Metazoa; Arthropoda; Insecta; Lepidoptera; Nymphalidae. The record is from RNAcentral.
AAAGAAAAGAUUAUAAAAGGUGUAUUCAGGACUUCGCGCCGGUUAUCCGCGCAGAUCCAGCGCAACAAGGAACGAUGACUGCUACUUUAAAUAAAACAUAAAAGCGACCAAAUUUAUGAAAUCCAUUCACAUUUAUUUGCCAUUAUGAUUGCAACAAGAAAUAAUGGGAUCGCGUGGGUAAACCGCUUCGUCAAGGAAAAACACGUUCAAGAAAGAGUUUUAAGAUAUGAAAAACGUCGAAAUUCAACUCAAGUAAAACAGCAAGAAAACGCUAGUUCGUUUAAAGAGGAAAAUUUUAAAUAAUGAUCACAACUAGUACACGAAUAUUAUUCAAUUAAGAUGUAAACACGUUUGAUGAUUAAUAAAUAAAUAAUUAGCAGUAAAGCGCUCUUAAAAUAACUUCAGGAUAACAUUGAGG